RNAcentral lists this ribosomal RNA (441 nucleotides) under uncultured Panulirus. RNAcentral describes it as "SSU rRNA". It matches the Rfam family "Eukaryotic small subunit ribosomal RNA", at positions 582 to 1017 of the family's 1831-position model. Lineage: Eukaryota; Metazoa; Arthropoda; Malacostraca; Decapoda; Palinuridae. The record is from RNAcentral.
AUUCCAGCUCCAAUAGCGUAUAUUAAAGUUGUUGCGGUUAAAAAGCUCGUAGUUGGAUUUCAGUUCCGGACUGACGGUUCACCGCCCGGUGCCUACUGUCACGCUCCGAACAGCCGCACCGCCGGCUCGCACGGGGUGCUCUUCAUCGAGUGUCCCGAGUGGCCGGCACGUUUACUUUGAAAAAAUUAGAGUGCUCAGAGCAGGCUCCUUGAACGGCCUGAAUGUCUAUGCAUGGAAUAAUGGAAUAGGACCUCGGUUCUAUUUUGUUGGUUUUCGGAACCCGAGGUAAUGACUAAUAGGAACAGGCGGGGGCAUUCGUAUUGCGACGCUAGAGGUGAAAUUCAUGGACCGUCGCAAGACGAACUACUGCGAAAGCAUUUGCCAAGGAUGUUUUCAUUAAUCAGGAACGAAAGUUAGAGGUUCGAAGGCGAUCAGAUACCG